This is a small nuclear RNA of Mobula hypostoma (lesser devil ray), 103 nucleotides long. The record is from RefSeq and is a predicted model, not a curated record. NCBI's taxonomy places the organism in Eukaryota, Metazoa, Chordata, Chondrichthyes, Myliobatiformes, Myliobatidae.
CAGGAGCACAUACUACUAGAUUAAGAUUGGAAGAAUACAGAGAAGAUUAGUAAGGCACCUGCACGGCAAUGAUAUGUAAAUUUGUAAAUCGUUCCGUUAAUUU